RNAcentral lists this ribosomal RNA (484 nucleotides) under uncultured bacterium. RNAcentral's name for it is "partial 16S ribosomal RNA". It matches the Rfam family "Bacterial small subunit ribosomal RNA", at positions 29 to 507 of the family's 1533-position model. The record is from RNAcentral.
AUUGAACGCUGGCGGAAUGCUUUACACAUGCAAGUCGAGCGGCAGCGCGGCCUUCGGGCUGGCGGCGAGCGGCGAACGGGUGAGUAAUGCAUCGGAACAUGCCCAGUCGUGGGGGAUAACACUUCGAAAGAAGUGCUAAUACCGCAUACGUCCUGAGGGGGAAAGCGGGGGAUCGCAAGACCUCGCGCGAUUGGAGUGGCCGAUGUCAGAUUAGCUAGUUGGUGGGGUAGAGGCCUACCAAGGCGACGAUCUGUAGCUGGUCUGAGAGGAUGAUCAGCCACACUGGGACUGAGACACGGCCCAGACUCCUACGGGAGGCAGCAGUGGGGAAUUUUGGACAAUGGGGGCAACCCUGAUCCAGCCAUUCCGCGUGAGUGAAGAAGGCCUUCGGGUUGUAAAGCUCUUUCGGCAGGAACGAAACGGUGGGCUCUAACAUAGUCCGCUAAUGACGGUACCUGAAGAAGAAGCACCGGCUAACUACGUG